RNAcentral lists this long non-coding RNA (886 nucleotides) under Chloebia gouldiae (Gouldian finch). Its description in RNAcentral is "Erythrura gouldiae (Gouldian finch) lncRNA (ENSEGOG00005014774.1)". The record is from RNAcentral. Lineage: Eukaryota; Metazoa; Chordata; Aves; Passeriformes; Passeridae.
UGCAAACUGUAUUCUCACCUCCUUUGAAAACAUCAGUCCCUGUUUCCAUGGUCCCACUCUUCUCUCAACGAGAAUCUGAGCAUGCAGGAGAUCAAUCUCUUCUUCCCCUGUGGAAACUGGACAGUGCAGAGGAAAUUCCCAGGAGAAAUAACAGGGCUGUGAAUACCUGUGUGUGCUGGUUGGACAGCAAACAUCUGCAGUGUAUCCUGCGUGGCGGGAGCAGGAGGAUGGAUGGGUUGCCUGGUCCCUUGCCAGGAAUUAAUGCUGCCCCAGGCGUAAAAGAGGAACAGAGGUUUGAUCUUUGCCCCAGCAGUGGCAUUCACCUCCACAUCUUGGACUUCUGGGCAUCACCUCCAUGUCUCUUUCCUUGCCUGGAACAUGUUUCAACAGCAGACCUGGAGAUGCCAGGGAAAGGGUUGGAGCUGCCAGCCCCACACCAAGCAGAGGGACAAGGAGGUGACAGCUGCUCAGUGCCUGUGCUGGCUCACAAGUGACUCAGAAUUUGAUCAAUACUGCUGGUGGCUGUUGGUGCAGCAACUGAUGGGGAGCUGGAGGAGAAUUAUUCUGCUGAAAGCCUCGAGAAAAAUCAGUCAGAGAAGGCUGUGCCGCCAGAGCCCCAUCCCGUCACGCUCAGACAAAAUCCUCAGAAAUCCCACCUUAAAAACCACACUGGAAACACCAGGAGGAAAGUAUCAAGACAAGCAGUCCUUGGGAAUGUAUGGAAUUGACACAGAAGUCAUGGAGCAACUGAGCAGUGACAGGACUGGAAAGGAAAUGGAUUUUGCCAACAACUGGAAGUUCUCAGUGCCCUCGUGCCAUGGAAGUUCUGCAUCCUGUUCUGCCUGGAAGUGCCAGCCAUGAGGCAGCGCUGGGGUUUUUACUGGAA